CCUACGGGAGGCAGUAGUGGGGAAUAUUGCACAAUGGGGGAAACCCUGAUGCAGCGACGCCGCGUGAGUGAAGAAGUAAUUCGUUAUGUAAAGCUCUAUCAGCAGGGAAGAAAAUGACGGUACCUGAGUAAGAAGCCCCGGCUAACUACGUGCCAGCAGCCGCGGUAAGACGUAGGGGGCAAGCGUUAUCCGGAUUUACUGGGUGUAAAGGGAGCGUAGACGGCAGUGCAAGUCUGGAGUGAAAGGCGGGGGCUCAACCCCCGGACUGCUCUGGAAACUGUACGGCUGGAGUGCAGGAGAGGUAAGUGGAAUUCCUAGUGUAGCGGUGAAAUGCGUAGAUAUUAGGAGGAACACCAGUGGCGAAGGCGGCUUACUGGACUGUAACUGACGUUGAGGCUCGAAAGCGUGGGGAGCAAACAGGAUUAGAUACCCUUGUAGUC
Molecule: ribosomal RNA, 440 nt
Filed under: uncultured bacterium
Lineage: Bacteria
Description: partial 16S ribosomal RNA
Rfam family: Bacterial small subunit ribosomal RNA
Source: RNAcentral